This is a non-coding RNA of Jatropha curcas, 1305 nucleotides long. The record is from RefSeq and is a predicted model, not a curated record. Lineage: Eukaryota; Viridiplantae; Streptophyta; Magnoliopsida; Malpighiales; Euphorbiaceae.
AACCAACGGUGUUGAUAAACAUCAAAUUAAAAUUAAAAAAAGAAAUCCCUCAAAAAUCAGAAAUCUCACUCUCCAUAAACUCUAAUCUCCAUCUCUCCUUCUUCUCUCUCUCCCAAACCCAAACUCUCUUCUCCAUCGUCAGAUCUUCUCUCUCAAUAAAACAAUUCCACCAAUCGUUUCUCUCUCUUAAACUCGCGCCAAAUACAAAACGAUCUCCUCUUCUCCCUCUAACUAACAGCUCUCUUUCUCUCCCUCUCUUUCCUUCUCCCUCUAGGGAUUUUGGUGAUAUGGCUGAGAACCCAACAAGUCCAGCAGGAGGGAGCCAUGAGAGCGGUGGUGAGCAGAGCCCGCACUCUGGAGUGAGGGAACAGGAUAGGUACCUGCCUAUUGCCAACAUAAGCAGGAUCAUGAAGAAGGCUUUGCCUGCCAAUGGAAAAAUUGCUAAAGAUGCUAAGGAUACUGUGCAGGAAUGUGUCUCUGAAUUUAUUAGCUUUAUUACCAGCGAGGCGAGUGAUAAGUGUCAGAAGGAGAAAAGAAAGACAAUCAAUGGAGAUGAUUUGUUGUGGGCGAUGGCAACUCUAGGCUUUGAGGACUAUAUUGAACCACUUAAGGUGUACCUUGCUAGGUACAGGGAGAUGGAGGGUGACACUAAGGGAUCUGCUAGGGGUGGAGAUGGAUCUGCUAAGAGGGAUCCAAUUGGAGGUCUGCCUGGUCAAAAUCCACAGUGUGACAGUUUGCUCUUCAGGGGUCAAUGAACUAUAUUAGUUCCCAGGUGGUAUAGAUAGAAAGGGGAAAGCUAGAUUUGCAUGCAAUUCUGUAGUUGAUGUUUUCCAUUUCUGGCUGCAAUGGUUACUUUGGUGUCUAGCUAUAUUUCUUAGUUAUUUUUCCACAUCCAUUCAACUUCAUCCUUGCUGGAAGUCCAUUUUGGAGAGUGGGAGGAAACACUUCCUCAAAAGAUGAGAUAUGGCACAGGGACAGCAUAUGAUUGUUCCUUCAAUGCAAGGCAACGAGUAGAGAGUAAUAGUUUCUCAUUUAUGGAAUUUUAGGCUCAUAAAACUGUUUAGUUUCAAUGCCUAUAGCAAGCAUCUUUAGUAUUUGUUCAUCUGAUUGGAAUCAAAGUGCCUAUGUAUUCUUUGGGCUUUGGUUUUGGUGGUUGUUGCAGCCCUCAUCAGCAGAACAGUUUUAAUAGUGCUGUAAAUUUGAUUAUUUUAUCUAGUACAUAAUCUCCUGACUAUUUAAAGAGACUUAUUUUGUUGGAGCUUGAGUUAGAAACCCUAAUGAUUAUUGAAUUUCAUUUCUUUUUCC